RNAcentral lists this ribosomal RNA (1369 nucleotides) under Ctenoplusia limbirena. RNAcentral describes it as "16S ribosomal RNA". Lineage: Eukaryota; Metazoa; Arthropoda; Insecta; Lepidoptera; Noctuidae. The record is from RNAcentral.
GGGGAAAAAUUAAUAAAUUAAUUUUAAUAAAAAAAUUUUUAAAUAAUAUUUAAUGGGGGUUAAAGUAUUUAGAAAGAAAAAAUUAUUUAAUUUAUAGUAAAUUAGUAUUGUAAAAGAAAUUUGAAAUAAAUUAUAAAAAAAAUUAAUUGUAAGUAAUUUUAAUUUAAUGUAUCUUGUGUAUCAGAGUUUAUUAAAAAAAAUUUUUUUAUAAAAAAUUCUCGAAUUUAAAAGAGAUAAUUAAUUAAAAAAGUUAUUGUUGCAUAAAUAUUUUAAAUAAUUAAUUGGAAAUGAAAUGUUAAUCGUUUUUAAAUAUAUCUAGUUUUUUUAGAAAAAAAUUUAAUUUUAAAUUUAUUUUAAAAAUAUUUAAUUAAUUAAAUAUUUUUAAAAUAAAUUUUAUAUUUUAAGGGAUAAGCUUUAAAUUAAAUUAAUAUAAUAAAUUUAAAUAAAAUAUUAUUGAAAAUUUUAUAAUUUAUAUUGUUAAUAAAAUUUAAUUUAUUAAAAAUAAUUUCAUUAAAAAUAAAAUUUAAAAAAAAUUUAUAAAUUUAUAAAAAAAAAAUUAAAAUUAAAAAAAAUUUAAUAUAAUGAUAAAAUUAGUAUAAAAUAUUAUUAAUUAAAAAAAAAUAAAUUAUUAAAUUAAUUAAAAGGAAUUCGGCAAAAGUACAUAUUCACUUGUUUAUCAAAAACAUGUCUUUUUGAAAAUAAUAUAAAGUCUAAUCUGCCCACUGAUUUAUAAUUGAAGGGCUGCAGUAUAUUGACUGUACAAAGGUAGCAUAAUCAUUAGUCAUUUAAUUGAUGACUUGUAUGAAAGAUUGGAUGAAAUAUGAUCUGUCUCUUAAUUAAAUUAUAGAAUUUAAUUUUUUAUUUAAAAAGAUAAAAUAAAUUAAAAAGACGAGAAGACCCUAUAGAGUUUUAUAAUUAAUUUAAUUAAAAUUAUUUAUAAAUUAAAAUAAAUUAAAAUUAAUUUAAUUAUUUUGUUGGGGUGACAGAAAAAUUAAAUGAACUUUUUUUAUAAAAAUACAAUUAUAAUUGAGUAUAUGAUCCAAUUUUAUUGAUUAUAAGAAAAAAUUACCUUAGGGAUAACAGCGUAAUUUUUUUUUUUAGUUCAAAUAAAAAAAAGAGUUUGCGACCUCGAUGUUGGAUUAAGAUAAAAUUUAAAUGCAGAAGUUUAAAGUUUUUGAUCUGUUCGAUCAUUAAAAUCUUACAUGAUCUGAGUUCAGACCGGUGUGAGCCAGGUUGGUUUCUAUCUUUUAAAAACUUAAAUAUUUUAGUACGAAAGGAUUAAAUAUUUAAAUUAAAUUUAAUAUUUUGAAUAUUAUUAAAAAUAAAAUAAAUAAAAAAUAAUAUAUAUAUAUAUAUAUAUAUAUAUACU